ACUCAAAGGAAUAGACGGGGACCCGCACAAGCGGUGGAGCAUGUGGUUUAAUUCGAAGCAACGCGAAGAACCUUACCAGGUCUUGACAUCCCGAUGAAAAACCCGUAACGGGGUUCCCUCUUCGGAGCAUCGGAGACAGGUGGUGCAUGGUUGUCGUCAGCUCGUGUCGUGAGAUGUUGGGUUAAGUCCCGCAACGAGCGCAACCCUUAUUCUUAGUAGCCAGCAGGGAAAGCUGGGCACUCUAAGGAGACUGCCGGGGAUAACCCGGAGGAAGGUGGGGAUGACGUCAAAUCAUCAUGCCCCUUAUGAUCUGGGCUACACACGUGCUACAAUGGCGUAACAAAGGGAAGCGAGCCUGCGAGGGUGAGCAAAUCCCAAAAAUAACGUCCCAGUUCGGACUGUAGUCUGCAACCCGACUACACGAAGCUGGAAUCGCUAGUAAUCGCGAAUCAGAAUGUCGCGGUGAAUACGUUCCCGGGUCUUGUACACACCGCCCGU
RNAcentral lists this ribosomal RNA (498 nucleotides) under uncultured bacterium. RNAcentral's name for it is "bacterial SSU rRNA". It matches the Rfam family "Bacterial small subunit ribosomal RNA", at positions 899 to 1397 of the family's 1533-position model. The record is from RNAcentral.